UUCUAGAAAGAUUCCGGUUGAUCCUGCCAGAGGCUACUGCUAUCGGGGUCCGACUAAGCCAUGCGAGUUGAGAGGGGUAAGCCCUCGGCAUAUUGCUCAGUAACACGCGGAUAACCUGCCCUUGGGUUUGGGAUAACCCCGGGAAACUGGGACUAAUACCGGAUAGAUCAAAGAUACUGGAAUGUUCUUUGUUCGAAAGCUCCGGCGCCCAAGGAUGGGUCUGCGGCCUAUCAGGUAGUAGUGGGUGUAACGUACCUACUAGCCUACGACGGGUAAGGGUUGUGAGAGCAAGAGCCCUGAGAUGGAUUCUGAGACAUGAAUCCAGGCCCUACGGGGUGCAGCAGGCGCGAAAACUUUACACUGCGGGAAACCGCGAUAAGGGGACCCCGAGUGCCAGCACCUAGUGCUGGCUGUCCAGCUGUUCAAAAAACAGUUGUUAGCAAGGGCCGGGCAAGACCGGUGCCAGCCGCCGCGGUAACACCGGCGGCCCGAGUGGUAGCCGUUAUUGUUGGGUUUAAAGGGUCCGUAGCCGGCCUAUUAAGUCUCUUGGGAAAUCUGGCGACUCAAUCGUCAGGCGUUCAAGAGAUACUGGUAGGCUUGGGACCGGGAGAGGUGGGAGGUACUCCAGGGGUAGGGGUGAAAUCUCGUAAUCCUUGGGGGACCACCGAUGGCGAAGGCAUCCCACCAGAACGGGUCCGACGGUGAGGGACGAAAGCUGGGGGCACGAACCGGAUUAGAUACCCGGGUAGUCCCAGCUGUAAACGAUGCUCGCUAGGUGUCAGGUGCGGUGCGACCGCAUUUGGUGCCGUAGUGAAAACUUGAAGCGAGUCACCUGGGAAGUACGGUCGCAAGGCUGAAACUUAAAGGAAUUGGCGGGGGAGCACUACAA
This 889-nucleotide ribosomal RNA is filed under the name uncultured ANME-2 cluster archaeon. Its description in RNAcentral is "bacterial SSU rRNA". It matches the Rfam family "Archaeal small subunit ribosomal RNA", at positions 1 to 884 of the family's 1478-position model. The record is from RNAcentral. Lineage: Archaea; Methanobacteriati; Methanobacteriota; Methanomicrobia; Methanosarcinales.